UUUCCUAGUAUUCACGUAUGUCUGUUCUCCAAGAUUUUCCCGUAUUGCCCUAGCCCCGGGGCAAUCGGCAAUGUGUAGCGCACUCCAGGAAAUAUGACUUCCUGGCAGGAAAAAAAAGAAGACGGGGCACAUUACGGAGGACAACAU
This is a non-coding RNA of Caenorhabditis elegans, 147 nucleotides long. Lineage: Eukaryota; Metazoa; Nematoda; Chromadorea; Rhabditida; Rhabditidae. The record is from Ensembl.